AGCAGCCGCGGUAAUUCCAGCUCCAAUAGCGUAUAUUAAAGUUGUUGCAGUUAAAAAGCUCGUAGUUGAAUUUCGGGAUUGACCCAUCGGUCGUGCCUUAAGGGGUAUGAACUGGUGUAGUCAAUUUCUCACCUUCUGGAGAACCGUGAUGUCCUUAAUUGGGUGCCACGAGGAACCAGGACCUUUACUUUGAAAAAAUUAGAGUGUUUAAAGCAGGCAUUUUUGCUUGAAUACAUUAGCAUGGAAUAAUAAAAUAGGACGGCAUGAUUCUAUUUUGUUGGUUUCUAGGAUCACCGUAAUGAUUAAUAGGGAUAGUUGGGGGCAUUAGUAUUCAAUUGUCAGAGGUGAAAUUCUUGGAUUUAUUGAAGACUAACUACUGCGAAAGCAUUUGCCAAGGAUGUUUUCAUUAAUCAAGAACGAAAGUUAGGGGAUCGAAGACGAUCAGAUACCGUCGUAGUCUUAACCAUAAACUAUGCCGACUAGGAAUCAGACGANGUUAAUUUUUUAAUGACUCGUUUGG
RNAcentral lists this ribosomal RNA (520 nucleotides) under uncultured Entrophospora. RNAcentral describes it as "SSU rRNA". It matches the Rfam family "Eukaryotic small subunit ribosomal RNA", at positions 569 to 1083 of the family's 1831-position model. The record is from RNAcentral. Lineage: Eukaryota; Fungi; Glomeromycota; Glomeromycetes; Entrophosporales; Entrophosporaceae.